Molecule: ribosomal RNA, 253 nt
Filed under: uncultured bacterium
Lineage: Bacteria
Description: partial 16S ribosomal RNA
Rfam family: Bacterial small subunit ribosomal RNA
Source: RNAcentral
UACGGGGGGGGCAAGCGUUGUUCGGAAUUACUGGGCGUAAAGGGCCAGUAGGCGGCCAACUAAGUCGGAUGUGAAAUCCCCAGGCUUAACCUGGGAACUGCAUCCGAUACUGGAUGGCUUGAAUUCGGGAGAGGGAUGCAGAAUUCCAGGUGUAGCGGUGAAAUGCGCAGAUAUCAGGAGGAACACCAAUUGCGAAGGCAGCUCGCUGGGACGUAACUGACGCUGAGACGCGAAAGCGUGGGGAGCAAACAGG